Molecule: ribosomal RNA, 458 nt
Filed under: uncultured bacterium
Lineage: Bacteria
Description: partial 16S ribosomal RNA
Rfam family: Bacterial small subunit ribosomal RNA
Source: RNAcentral
GGUGAACGCUGGCGGCGUGCUUAAGACAUGCAAGUCGAACGGGCUCUUCGGAGCCAGUGGCGCACGGGUGAGUAACGCGUAACUGACCUACCCCAAAGUCGCGGAUAACGAUUCGAAAGAAUCGCUAAUACGUGAUGUGCUGUCAGAUCCUGUUCUGCCAGUAAAGAUUUAUUGCUUUGGGAUGGGGUUGCGUUCCAUCAGCUAGUUGGUGGGGUAAAGGCCCACUAAGGCGACGACGGAUCGCCGGCCUGAGAGGGUGGCCGGCCACAGGGGCACUGAGACACGGGUCCCACUCCUACGGGAGGCAGCAGUUAGGAAUCGUCCACAAUGGGCGAAAGCCUGAUGGAGCGACGCCGCGUGAGGGAUGAAGGGCGUCGGAUCGUAAACCUCUGAAUCAGGGACGAAAGACGCGAAAGCGGGAUGACGGGACCGGAGUAAUAGCACCGGCUAACUCCGUG